RNAcentral lists this ribosomal RNA (468 nucleotides) under uncultured bacterium. RNAcentral describes it as "partial 16S ribosomal RNA". It matches the Rfam family "Bacterial small subunit ribosomal RNA", at positions 28 to 507 of the family's 1533-position model. The record is from RNAcentral.
GAUGAACGCUGGCGGCGGGCCUAAUACAUGCAAGUCGAACGGAAAGGCGCUGCUUUUGUGGGGUGCGCGAGUGGCGAGGGGGUGUGUAACACGUGUGUAACCCCUCCUUGAGUUUGGUAUAACUUCAGGAAACAGGGGCUAAUAGCGUAUAGGAACUCCUGCUCCAUGUGGGGGGUUGGAAAGUUUGGGGGGUUGGGGAUGGACUCGCGGCUUAUCAGCUUGUGGGGGGGGUAGUGGCUUACCAGGGCUUUGACGGGUAGCGCGCCUGAGAGGGUGACCGGGCACCGUGCGAGUGAGAUACGGGCCAGACUAGUAAGGGAGGCAGCAGUAGGGAAUAUUGCACAAUGGGGGCAAGCCUGAUGCAGCAACGCCGCGUGAGGGAUGGCGGACUUCGGGUAGACAACAACUUUCGCAGGUAACGAAGCGUGAGUGACGGUACUGGAUAAAGAAGCACCGGCUAACUACGUG